RNAcentral lists this long non-coding RNA (464 nucleotides) under Numida meleagris (helmeted guineafowl). RNAcentral's name for it is "lncRNA (ENSNMEG00000002935.1)". Lineage: Eukaryota; Metazoa; Chordata; Aves; Galliformes; Numididae. The record is from RNAcentral.
ACCCACUGUGCCUCUGCUGACAGCCCCUUGCGCCCCAUCACCUGCAGCCAUGGGGCAGAGAGAGAGCGUGUGGGGCGGGGGGCGGACCCACGGAAUCCCCCUGCCCCACAUCCUGCCCCACAGAAUCCCCCUGCCCCACAUCUCGAGCCUUGGAAUCCCCCUGCCCCACAUCCUGAGCCGCAUCCCACUGCACCUCUGCCAAGGGCCCCUUGCGCCCCAUCACCUGCAGCCAUGGGGCAGAGACAGCGUGUGGGGCAGACCCACAUCAUCUCCCUGCCCCACAUCCUGCCCCACGGAAUCCCCCUGCCCCACAUCCUGAGCCUUGGAAUCCCCCACAUCCACCCCCUGCGCCUCUGCCAAGGGCCCCUUGCGCCCCAUCACCUGCAAGGGGGGCAGACCCACAUCAUCCCCCUGCCCCACAUCCUGCCCCACGGAAUCCCCCUGCCCCACAUCCUGAGCCACGG